Molecule: long non-coding RNA, 153 nt
Organism: Alosa sapidissima (American shad)
Lineage: Eukaryota; Metazoa; Chordata; Actinopteri; Clupeiformes; Clupeidae
Exons: 3
Source: RefSeq, a predicted model, not a curated record
AUCAGUGAGGGUGUUUACAUCCACGCACAAAUGUAUGGGCGUACAAAUAGCAGUCGCUUUCGAAGUAAAAGCAACGAUAUUGAUUUGCGUGCAUUAUCUCUAUGCUAGGCUCUUGACUACUGUUUUUUCGCGGGCCGGGGGCCGCAUUUACAG